UGGGGAAUAUUGGACAAUGGGCGAAAGCCUGAUCCAGCCAUGCCGCGUGUGUGAAGAAGGUCUUCGGAUUGUAAAGCACUUUAAGUUGGGAGGAAGGGCAGUUACCUAAUACGUAUCUGUUUUGACGUUACCGACAGAAUAAGCACCGGCUAACUCUGUGCCAGCAGCCGCGGUAAUACAGAGGGUGCAAGCGUUAAUCGGAAUUACUGGGCGUAAAGCGCGCGUAGGUGGUUUGUUAAGUUGGAUGUGAAAUCCCCGGGCUCAACCUGGGAACUGCAUUCAAAACUGACAAGCUAGAGUAUGGUAGAGGGUGGUGGAAUUUCCUGUGUAGCGGUGAAAUGCGUAGAUAUAGGAAGGAACACCAGUGGCGAAGGCGACCACCUGGACUGAUACUGACACUGAGGUGCGAAAGCGUGGGGAGCAAACAGGAUUAGAUACCCCUGUAGUCCCUGAGCGGGCUGGCAAGGCGCAU
RNAcentral lists this ribosomal RNA (472 nucleotides) under uncultured bacterium. RNAcentral describes it as "bacterial SSU rRNA". It matches the Rfam family "Bacterial small subunit ribosomal RNA", at positions 355 to 825 of the family's 1533-position model. The record is from RNAcentral.